Ictalurus punctatus (channel catfish) is the source of this 5394-nucleotide RNA transcript. RefSeq lists it as uncharacterized. The record is from RefSeq and is a predicted model, not a curated record. Lineage: Eukaryota; Metazoa; Chordata; Actinopteri; Siluriformes; Ictaluridae. The transcript has 4 exons.
GCAAUGGUUUUCACCAGUGCUAGUGUAAAAACAGAGGACAUGGCAACACGGACAGUUGUUAUGUCUCGGGUUGUCUGCUAGAGGACAGCGCUUCUUUCAGGAGGAAGUCUCUCUCUCUCUCUCUCACUCUCUUGCGCUCUCUCACACACACACUGUUGGAUAUAGUGACUAAACAAAUAACAUAAAUAAUGUUUACGGACAGACUGAAGGCUUUUCUGGGGAUUUGCCCUUCUUAAAUGACCGAAAUUGAAAGUCCGCCCUCUGGCUGAUGUGCGCAUGCGCGUUGUUGUUCUUCUCCGUCUGAUCUUACGCAAUUUAGGGAGUGCGGUUCUUCUCUCAGUAUCUUCAUGUGAUCAUCAGCUCAUCAUCAGAAAUGAGAUGAGCAGGUUUUCUUACUCCUAGCUGUGACUCUUUAACAACAACAAUAAUAAUAGUAAUAAUAAUAAAAUUCGAUGACUGUAUGGAUUCUUCUCUCUGCCUAUUUAGUAAAUAAGAUAAAAUUCUGAAGGACUUGCUUCUUCCGGAUCUAAAAAAAGAUGGGGUGAAGCUUUAUUUCCAGAAGAUCAGAAAAGUUGCUUCAGAUUAAACUGAAAAAGUUGGAAAAAUACAGUUUCAAGGUUGGAACUUUGAAAGAAACAUCAUACAAAGAUGAGCCCGAGAUGUUUGAGGAGUGGGAGCAGUUCUACCUCCCAGAGCACAUGUUCAUGGAGGUGAUUGGUGUUGUUGAGAAGUUCCCCUGUAACUCCCCCAAUGAUGAGCUGGUGCUGAUGCUGUGUGAGGACGGGAAGGUGUUUGCUUUUGAAGGUAACAGGCUGCAUCUUGUUUCUAACAACCUGGAAGAACUGUUUAAGAAUGGCCUCCAGUUUCCAGGAAUCGAGCGAUAUUACCGUGGGCAAAGCUUUGAGGACCUGGGCGAAGGAGUUGGAGAAUAACUGCAAUUUUGCACACAAUGCUUUCAUCCUCUUCAACAAAGCCACUGAAAUAUUCGCUGAAUGUUUUGGCACUGACCCACCAAUGGAUGUGAAGCAGAAACUGGAUCAGGUGAGUGGAACUGCUUUUAACAUACAAAAGGGGCUUUUAAUCUCAGUGUUUAGAGUGAUCAGAAAGUUCGAGAACUGGUAAUAGACAGUGAUAAUAAACUGAUGACAUUAAUAUUCAGCUGUAAUACUGACUACACCCCUUCACUGUGAGGUCAAAUAAUAACUUACACAAUUUACAUUUUCAUUAUACCUAUUUCAUUUCCAUUCUCUCUCUUUGUUCUCUCUCUUUAUUCUCUCUUGAAGUUAAUAAGAAAAAAAAGCAGGUUGUCGUGUUACUGAGAAACCGCAAAGAAGCGUAAACUCCUCUGUCCUGAAGAUGUCAGAAACUUUACUUGUCUCAUAUAAUAUUCUUUACUUUUUCUGUAAAGAAACCGCAUCCUGUUCUUAUGUUACAUUCAUUCAUGUUACCGCGCAGAAGUAAUCUUUGCUCAGAUGGAAAUAUUAAACAGAACAAAGACAUAUUUCCCAAAACCAUUCGAGCAAUACCAAACCCACGCGGCUCUACAGAAACCUUUCUCCUUCCUCCUGGAACUGGUCACAAAAUGCUACAGCCAAUACGAUGAAUUCAUAGUGAAGGAUAUGCUGUCUGAAAUAUUAGAUGGUUGUAAAAAAAUCAGGUGUUCUAUUCCCUCUGAUUUCCACUGUCAUAUGUCACCAAGCGUAUGGUCCAGAUACUAUGGAGCGUCUCUGUCCUGUGAAAGUGACCCACAGAGAGAGCUCAUGACUGCUGUGUCCUGUGUGAAUGUUUGGCAUCCCAAAGUUUCCUCUGCUGUGAUGUCUGUGUUUCCUGACGGCGAUGGAGAACCACACAGAAUACUCUAUCUGGGAGUUCUAAAGUGUAGAGCGUAUGCAAUAGAGGGCCUGAGGCAGCUGAAACCACCUUGUGAGACCUGCAAUAAGCUUUAUUCUCUUCCUGGUCACACACAGUCCAAAUCCCCCUGGUAACUGUGCUGAGACAGAGGCAAUCAGUAAUCUCUUCAAAGCAGAAGGGUGUGUGUCUGAUCAGACCACCAUCACUGGAGAUGUUUAUGAUCACCAGGAGAUUAAGCAAAAUAUGGAAAGUAACUUUAGAAACAACAUGCAAAAACUAAUGAAAAAAGGGGAUAGUAAUUAUGUUAUUGAUAAUGUCUAUCCUCCCAAUUAUCCUGAAUCUGUACGAUCAUCUAACUGAAUUAUGCACGCACACACACACACACACACACACACACACACACACACACACACACACACACACACACACAUAUAUAUACACACUGUGAUGUGUUAGCUUAAGAACCUCAUUAUGUUGUGACAAAUAUUUUCUAGUUCUAUUUGAUCAGUUAAAGAUAUUCAGGAACAUUGUCCUCAUUCAUUCAGAUACCUAAAAAAAAAAAAAACAGUCUAUACUAUAAAAACGUAUUAAAGAACAUACAUGCGGUCAUGUGAAAAAGUAUGUACUCUGAAUGGAAAUUGUUGAUUUUGUUGACAUAUUUGGGCAAGCAAAUAUUUGAUCCUCUUUGAAACCAUGCCUAUUCAUAAAAUUGAUACACUAUCAAAUGACACAUAAAAUCGACAUUUUGUAGUAAUUUUUCACAAUUAAAAAAAACAAAACAAAACAGAUCAGUCACAUUGAAAAAGUAAGCACACCCCUACAUUUAUGAUAACUUCAAAUCCAUAAAACAUCCAUAGAAUCAGGUGUUCGAGAUUGGGUGCCAGUGAUUAGAACCUGCUUAGGGAGUGCAGGUGGAACCUGUGUUAUUUAUACCAUCUCAUAUCUAGUGUCUGGUGUUCUCUUUGUUAUUGACAUGUGUGGUGUCAUCAUGCCAAGAUCUAAGGUUCUGUAAGGCCUUCAGAAAAAAAAAGCUUGUGAAUGCCUAUGAGUCUGGAAAGGGAUUUAAAAAGAUUUUCCAAUUAUUUGAAAUACAUCAUUCCACUGUAAGGAAAAUAAUCUACAAAUGGCACAGAUUCAGGACUGGCCAUCCCAGCAAAUUCAGCCCAAGAGCAGACCGUCUGAUGAAAGAAUGUCUCCAAGAACCACAAAAUUUCGUCACAGGAUCUGUUAGUAAGUCUUGCAACUGUUGAUGUCAAAAUGCAUGUUUCUACAAUCAGAAAGAAAUUUUCCUGGCAUGCCAGGAAAACACCUUUGCAAGACUAUAGUUUGCCAGUGAGCAUAUAGACAAAGACCAUUUUGUAAUCAUUUGGAAUAAUGUACUCUGGCCAGCCAAAUUAAAAAUAGAAUUGUUUGGCCACAGUAACAGCAGACAUGUUUGGCACAGACAGCUUUUCAGGAGAAGCACCUCAUACCAACUGUGAAGCACGGUGGUGGAAAUGUUAUGGUUUGGGGUUGCUUCACUGCCUCAAGGACUGGACAGCUUGCAUUCAUUGACUCAACUAUGAAUUCUGAAUCAUAUCAAAGAGUGCUUGAAGACAAUGUGAAGCCAUCUCUCCGAAAGUUGAAGCUGAACUGAAAGUGGAAAAUUCAACAGGAUAAUGAUCCUAAGCACACUAGCAAAUCCACAAAGGAAUCACUCAAAAAGAAGAAAUGGGGGGUUAUGGAAUGGCCUAGACAAAGCACGGAUUUGAAUUACACUGAAAUGUGGGGGGAUCUGAAACAGGCAGUACAUACAUGGAAGAGUGGUCAAAAAUUCCAGCAAGCCUGGUGCACAAUUAUGCAAAAUGUCUACAAUAAGUUAUUUCUGCUAAAGGGGGCGACACUAGCUUUUGAGGACAAGGGUGUACCUACUUUUUCCACAGAAGAAUAUCACAUCUAUUUAUAUUUCUGUUGAAAAAAGCUAAUUUUCCUUGUUGGUUUGUUCAAGUAUAUCAACUUUAUUAAUAAAGUUUCUAAAGAGGAUCAAAUGCUUGCUUGUCCAAAUAUGUCAAAAAAAAACCCCAACAGUUUCCAUGGGGUGUACUUAUUUUUCCACAUGACUGUACAUCUGCCUCAGGGGAAGUCUCAGGUAAAAGUAAUUGGGUGUCCUUUUAUAUCUUCUGCUCUUUAGUUGCUCGGACAUGAUUAUGUCCUGCUGAAUGCUGUUUCAGCUGGGACAGUCCACCAUAAGUGACAGAAAAAACUCUACAGCAAACUAUUCAUUUUAUCUUGUAUUUAUUCCCAGUGACAGAAACAUACUGUAUGCCACCUCGAUGGCCUCUUGCUUUUCAUGGGCGAACUUGCAUUUUUUAAGAACCGCACAACUGAGUGUCCAUAACCAGGGCAACGCUGAUGUUCUCACACAGCGCGUACCUGUAAUUCUCUUGUCCCAUACCACUGAUUUAGAAGCAAACUAAUUUGAUUUUAUUUACUAUGAUGUUAUUCUCACUACUGUGAAGACCUGGUGUAGUAGAUAUAAAAAGUCUACACACCAAUGUUAAAAUUGCAGGUUUUUGCUAUGUAAAAAUAAAAAAAAUUUAAAAAAACAAUAAAUCAUCAGAUCUUUUUUCUACCUUUAACAAAAUUCAAGUGGAGAAACAAAUAGAAAUGUUUCAAGGGGGAAAAAAAUGAUAAUAAAAAAAAAAUUACAGUAACAUGGUUGCAUAAGUAGUGCAUAAGCCUGACCAAGUUAUGCCAGUUCUGUUAGUUAGGAGUAAUAAUUCUUCUUAAGUACUGUGAGAGACUUAUGGAAGGCUACCACAAGCAUUUGAUUCAAGUACAAACAAUUAAAAAACAAUGCUACCAAAUACUAACAAAGUAUGUGCAAACAUUUGACCCACUGAAAAUCUGCAAUAGUAAAUAAAAGCUUAAAUAUAUGUGUCUCUUAUUUAUUAUUUUGUAAUAACAUCUUGUGGAAAUAAAGUAGACACUUUAAUUGACUUUAACACAGGAAAUAUAUGGUAACAUGAAAUGUGUAAAACUGAGACAUGAAAAUUUAGUUUGAAUGCCUUUAGUCUAUGUGUAUGUAAACCUUUGGCCUCAAUUGUACAGACAUCCUCUUAACAAAUUAAUCUGCUCUCUCUAAGCUUCUUUUUCUAACUAUUAUUUCAAGAGUUGAUCUUUAAUUCAAUUUGUGUUACGUUCACCAUAAAUCAAUCUGUUGAAAACAUGAAGAUUAAAUGUCAAUGAACCAUCUUUUUAUGCUGUAAUCAAGAGAAAAGCAAUUACAUUUUCCUCAACUAAUACAUAUCUCGGUAUAUCCAUACCUCUGGUAUUAUUUUGCAAGACCCUUCCUUUCAAGUACAUUAAUCAGAAAAUUGCUCAUGACACUCCUUUAUCAUGUACUAUGCUGUUUGUGUGAUAAUGGCAUGUUUAAUGGCAUGCGUAAUGUAUGUGUAAUCCUUCCAUUUUCCUGAAAUGCACAGACACCUCAGUGUGAUGAGAUGGGUGUUGGCAAAUGUUACCUUCUGGUCAGAGAGUGGCUGAUGUUGAGACAUUUAAACU